GGUAGUGACGCACUCCGGGAGGUGCCGGCCGCUCAUAACGGUCCGCCGAAAGGCCAAGUAGGUUCGAUUCCUACCGCUACCACCA
This 85-nucleotide transfer RNA is filed under the name compost metagenome. Its description in RNAcentral is "tRNA-Met". The record is from RNAcentral.